AGUAUCUGCUGAGUCUGCGGGUGUCUGCAAGGCCCCAAGUGUCAUCUGCGGCUUAGGGUUUCAUGGAUUAGAUUUUAAACGGUGUCUGGCCCAGUUGACAUCAGCCUCCUCGCACGCUCAGGCUCCAAAGAAUCGCGGGCUUGGGAGCUCCCUCUCCAAGCAGCUGCAGCUGCCCCAAAGCACCCCCUCGCUAGCAGAGUGGGAGUCCUCUCCCACCUCUGGAGAAAGGUUCCCCGAGGCUUCCGGGAGCGACUCGGAUGGAUGCGUUCCAGCCUCUGGCGUGAGCGUCAUGUGAUGACCACACUCGGUCGUUCAGGGCGCGAGUGGGGGCGGCGGCCAGUCUGGGAAGGCCCUUCCCGCGCGGCCGACAGCCAGGGCGAGAGCGGAGGCCGCGCACAGCCAUUUAAAACUGCAUGAAUUAUAAACAAGCCGCCUUGGCCUUCGCCAUAAAUUCUGCUCUUUUUGAGCCUGCAAUUAGUGUUAGGAAGCACCGGAGUCUAAACACAACCAAACACCCUCUGAAGGGCCCAAGUGCCCGAGGUUGCAAAGCUUUAUUUAUUUCUCAUUGCCACCCCCUCCGCGGCCCGAGGUUUGCGACCACAGUCUCCUCCUCCCCCGUCACCGCCGGCGGUACGCAGCCGGCUGGGUUCCCGCUCCGCGAGGGAAGGUCACAAUAGCUGCUCUAUCGGCGGAGGCGCCCGCCUCCCCCCUCUCGGGUCUCGGGAAGGCAGAGAAAGGACGGUGGGGGAGGGGAGCUCGGGCCGGCAAUGGCGCCCCAGGCCCAGGCAGCUCCUUCUCCCGCGGAGGACCUGCAGCGGGAAGAGGCACGUCUGCAGCGGAAGGACACCGCCACUCCAGACCGAGGCUUCUUCCCGGGAGCGGCGCGCGGGCUCCGUGGGGAGCUCACCACGGUCUCGAGGAGGCUGCUCGCUGGCCCCUAGCCGCCGCGCGCUGCUGGAUCGAGGGCGCCCGCAGCAGCGGACCUUCCGGGAGCAGCGGCGCCAUUGUGAGCGCGGCUUCCCACGGGCCCCGCGGCCGGGAAGCCGCACAAAGGCGGCAAGGCGUCCGACACCCGCAGGCCAGACCCAGCGUUCUGAAGCACUGUAAACAAAAGGUUUCCACACACGAAGAACCAAGGUUAAUGGAUGUCCAGUCAUUUGCAGUAGCAGAAGCAGGUGAAGGGUUCCCAGAAGAUCAGCAUGGUGGGAGAUAUUACAGAAGUCUUCUUGUCCCAGAUCUUGUGGUAAAAUCUCUUCUUCCUGCUCAUCGCUCAGUCAUGACUCUGCUACUCUAUGGACUGUAGCCUCGCAGACUCCUCUGUCCAUGGGAUUUCCCAGGCAAGAAUAUUGGAGUGGGUUGCCAUUUCCUCCUCCAGGGCAACGAUGCCAUCUCCGUCGCCGGCAAAAACACACAAAGGAGGCCCCCACCCAGGCUCGAACCUGGGGGCACACUGGAGAGAGGGCUGGCGUGGACCCCGAGUCGGAGAGCCUCCCACCCCCACGGGGAGCAAUAGCUGCCGCCUCCCCGGGGCAGUGGGGCGGUCGCGCCGCACAAAGGCCGGCUCGGCUAGCGCCAUGUGACGCGCGCUCGACCCGCUCUCCCGGCGGCGCGGCGGACGGGUGCGUGUUCCGACCCACCUGAACACUUUCCGAAAGACAAACGCGGUUCCUCCUACUUCGGAGCAAGUCCGGGCCAGCUGGGAUCCGACCAGAAACCGCAAGCGGAGGAGACGCGGGUACGCAGGCUGAGGGUAACGGAGGGCGCGACCUGCCGCCCCGCGCUCUGCCGCGCCAGGCCCGAGGGUAGCGCCUCCCGGUCCUCCCCGCGCCAGGGACGGCAGCCGCCCAGCAGCCCCGCCCGUGGGCCAGGCAGGGCGCCGGGUGCCCGGAGCGUCCCGGCCCCACCUCCACGCCCCACCUCCGCGCACUUCCCGCUUGCCCCAGUGACACCCUUCACCGCUGCUGUCCCCCCAGUAAGGGACAAACCCGUCUCUGAGGGCAGGACGAGAGAAAACCUCAAUAGGUGGAAAGGUUCUUGCAAAUACUUUUAUUUAAGAGUUUUAUAAAGGAUGUCCCAAAGGAUCAGAAUUCAGGGGAGACGCUGAACGAGUUCUCUCAUUGACCUUCAGGACUAUUUCCUAUUUGUAUGGGAGGAAAGAGGUUAAUAACCCCUGUUGAACUUGGAACUAAACUUGAAUGCAAUUUAAAAUAACCAUUAAAAUACACUUAAAACACUAACC
This is a long non-coding RNA of Bos taurus (domestic cattle), 2239 nucleotides long. The record is from Ensembl. NCBI's taxonomy places the organism in Eukaryota, Metazoa, Chordata, Mammalia, Artiodactyla, Bovidae.